RNAcentral lists this long non-coding RNA (1180 nucleotides) under Nicotiana benthamiana. RNAcentral describes it as "long non-coding RNA (NBEN_LNC032006)". Lineage: Eukaryota; Viridiplantae; Streptophyta; Magnoliopsida; Solanales; Solanaceae. The record is from RNAcentral.
AAUAAGGUAAGUCAUAGUAGCAUAAUAAUUGAGGAACUCAAAAUCAAUAUUACAAAAUCAAGGAAGUAUUCCCUAAGUUAAGGGAGUAAAUUCAAACGGUAAGGAACAACAACAUAUAAGGCUAGAAAAAGAAAAUCAGUACAUGACUAGUAAGAAAAGAAUCAACGUUCAGUAAGAAUAGGGGGAGUUAAUUAGGACUAAAUUCAGAAAAUUCCAAUCAAGGAAAUGACUCAGUAAAAUAAAGUACCAGAGCAGAUAAGGUAACGAAAUCAGUCAAUUUAAACAGACGAGUAGAAUUUUAAGGUUUUAAAAAAACUUUUCAAUCAAACCACUAAAUAAGGGAAUUAGAAUUAAAUCAAGAGAGGAUUAUGAUUCUAUACUUCAACAUAUAAAUAAAGAAGAACAAACAGACAUAUCAAACAGGGAAGGUCAACCAUAUCGACAGAAGAAAGCAAGAGAUGAACGAAUCAAACGAAUAACAAUCACACAGAUGUGAUACAAGUAGGCCAAAGACUGAGUAGAAAACCCAUUCGAAGCAUGGUAAUUAGAGAAUCUUAACAAGAAUCAAGUAGUCCGGCUAACACAAAGAACCAAAGCAAAGAAGAUCUUAAAAAUUAGGGCUUUUUAACAUAGGCGAGUUAAAAAGUAGUAAGAACAUAAAAUCAUUCAAGAUAAGCAAGGAAAGAGGUUUAAACAUAAAGAAAAAUCAGUUAAACAAGUGUAGAAGAAACUCCAAGAAACCCUAAUUUUAAAGAAAGUAAUACGGUUUAAAGUUGAGGAUUUUUUAGAAGAAGUUCGAGAAUAGUGCGAAACAUAGGAAGAAACAGACUUAAAGAAAUAAAAAAUGGCAUAGAUCUAAGAGAUUUAAAUGAGAGUUAGGGUUUCAAAAGAAACCCAAAUAGAAAUAAAAGAACCUGUUAUAUCUUCAAAGAUCGUAACAUAGAUGGUUUGAUUUUGCCCAAAAUUACACCAGAGAAGCCAUGAAAAACACAAACCCUAGAUACAAACCGACAUGGCCCAGGACCCUUGAAGGCCUCAGAGAUGAUGAGCAAGGCAAUGGAGGACCCAUUGGAGGCUUAGGGUUGAAAGGUAGUCAUCGGAGAUGACCGGAGAAGGAGGCGGCAAUUGAAGGGGAUUAGGGUUAGGUUGAGAGAGAAGAAAGAGAUGAGAGCAUCUGAAG